GCUGGAUGUGGUGGUGCACACCUGUAAUCACAGUAGCUCGGGAGGCUGAGACAGGAGGAUCACAAGUUCAAAGCCAGGCUCAGCAACUUUGGGAGAGUUUGGGCAACUCAGGGAGACCCUGUCUCAG
RNAcentral lists this small RNA (127 nucleotides) under Marmota monax (woodchuck). The record is from RNAcentral. Lineage: Eukaryota; Metazoa; Chordata; Mammalia; Rodentia; Sciuridae.